ACAGUCGGCCGGUCUGUCGCUCGUUUAACGGGAGGAAAGUCCGGGCAACGCAGGGCUCCAUACUUCCUAACGGGAAGCCGUUCGUAAGGGCGGAGUAGCAUAACAGAAAAGAACCGCCGGUUUACCGGUAAGGGUGAAAAGGUGAGGUAAGAGCUUACCGGGCUUUACGGUGACGUAGAGUGCCGUAUGUCUUAUGGGUUGCAAGGUCAUGUACACCGGCGUUUGAGGGUUGCCCGCCUGAUGCCGGGGGGUAGACCGCUUGAGCUUGCCGGUGACGGUAAGUGUAGAUAAAUGGCAGACACUUUCGGAAGAAAGUACAGAACCCGGCUUACAGGCCGGCUGUCUUU
RNAcentral lists this RNase P RNA (347 nucleotides) under Tannerellaceae bacterium. RNAcentral's name for it is "RNase P RNA component class A". It matches the Rfam family "Bacterial RNase P class A". Rfam says of the family: Ribonuclease P (RNase P) is a ubiquitous endoribonuclease, found in archaea, bacteria and eukarya as well as chloroplasts and mitochondria. Lineage: Bacteria; Pseudomonadati; Bacteroidota; Bacteroidia; Bacteroidales; Tannerellaceae. The record is from RNAcentral.